This is a non-coding RNA of Chelonoidis abingdonii (Abingdon island giant tortoise), 3376 nucleotides long. The record is from RefSeq and is a predicted model, not a curated record. Lineage: Eukaryota; Metazoa; Chordata; Testudines; Testudinidae.
AGCAUGGUUCAGAAAAGGUCAAGAAUCCUGGCUUUAGAGAAAACUUGAAGUUAUUUUAAUACCUAGUUAUAGAACAGGAAUUGUGCUGUUAUAUAUGAGUGUAUUAAACAUGUUGCUAAAUACUUUUUCCACAGGUUGCUGAUGAUGGUUAUGGUGUGUCUUACAUUCUUGUGGGUGAACACCUCAUCCAUUUCCAUGUGUCCAGCAAAUUCUCUUGUCCUGAGACAGAUUCUCAUCGUUUUGGAAAAAACAUCAAGCAAGCAAUGGUUGACACCAUAGCUUUAUUUGGCGUUGGUAUGAACUCUACCAAGUGAUUCCCUAAUAUCAAUGCCAGUGUCCUACCACUGCGGUGAGAACUCUUGACUGAUCAAUGAAUGAAAGCAAGAUGUACUACGCAACGGUUAGAGGGGCAUUUGGGCCAUAAUCCUCCAGUGAUCACCUGUGAAUAGGAUUCAACACCUAGGCUGAGGUUCAAAUGUCCUAUCACUUUGCAAUAGCUCAGAAGAUUUUCUUCCCAUAAGGGAUAACUUUAGACAUCCUAUGUGAUUCUAGGGAUAGUAUAAGGCAACAUCAUGUGAAAGGCAUGUGUACUGUAGCUACUGUAGGCCUGUCUCAAUUUUGUGUACAUUUAGUAACUUUUUACUUAAAAUCUGGGUCUACUUGUAUUUCAUAAAUGAGUGGAUAAAAUUUAUUAAGUCAACCUCAAUCAGCAGAAAGUAUUUUACUUCAUACAUACUAGUAGCAAAACAUCAAUUAGUAUGUCUGCUGCUUCUGUCUGAGUGACAAAACCUGUGGCUAUUCAUCUAAGUUGUCACUUUUUAAAGGUAUUUCUUUGCAUUGAAAAUAUAUCACAACCUGACAUAACCUACUGUAAUGCACUAACUGAAAAUAUAUUGUGCUUCUUGGCAAUAAGUAAAUGCUGCAGUGGGUGGUAAAAUAGUUGUAUUACAUAAAAGAAUGGCAGGUAUCACCUAUUUUCCUCUGUUUUAUAAGCAUAGUUUACCACAUCCUAAAUUCUGUUAACAUCUGAACAUACCUGCAUGUUGUAUGAGCCAAUGCCUUAAAAAUGGAGGGUCUCAAAUACAGGGAAAUCUUACACUGUGGGAUUCUUGUUUUUUUAAUUAUUUCUAUAAAUUUUCUAUGCUGAACAAGUGGAAUGGGAUUGUAAAUUUAAUUCUCAAAUUGAUUUAUUUAGGUGAAACACAGGAUAUGAGUUCAUGUUUUUACACAUUACAAUUUGGCUGAGGGCCUCUAUGUGAAAUGCCCCUUUUUCCAUCUAAUGAAAGACCAGUCCUGGUGAGACAAUGAACUAACUUUUGUUUCAGAACCACAUUUCUAAAAACACCAUUUUGCUGUAUAAGUCACCAAAGAUAACUGCUGCAUCUCAUGCAUGUUUUCUGCAGGACUCCAGGGAAUGUAGCCAUUAGCUACAUACAAACCUGUUGGGCAGUCCAUAGACUGUCUGCAGAUAAGGAACUGCAUCUUGUCUACCCUCAUGCUUAAAGCAGCACUCACCACAUUUCCAAACAUCUUUACAGGGAAAGGAUUAAGACAGCCAAAUGGUAAUGCCAGAAUGGUGAAAUCUAGCAUUCUCUGGUCUCUGCCUGGAGCGGCUCUGGGUAGGGUCAGGGUGAAUCAACACAUAGUUAAUGAGGAAAGGAAAUGGGGAGAGACGGAGGGAGGGGGGAAAAACAGCAGUACCACUCAGAAAGGUAUAUAAUGGAAAUUUUAAAAGCGGAGUAAAGAAACCUUCACAGUUCAUGGUUGCUAUGAAAUUAAAUGAAGUAGCUUUUUGUGAUGCCUCUCUUCCCUGGGAUUCAAGGUUGUGUUCCUUUUAGACAGUCUUUAUAUCACACAAGCCUAAGCAGCAUAAAAUGUGGCAAGUACUUAUCAAAGCAACUGUAUAUAAAAGGAUCAUGUAACAUAUACAGCGGUGGUCAUUACAAAAAUGACUGCUGCUCCAGGGCUAUAACAACAUUAACAGCCCUGUAAAGGAAAAUGUCUAAUUUAUCUUUAGAUUGAGAAUAUGAAUAUUUUCUGACCCUUAUCUUGUUUUGACUCUGCCACGUAAAUUUUUUUCCCUCUGGGUUUCACACGAAUUCAAUACACAAGUUUGGGAAGAGGCCCUGCUGAAGAUUACAGAUGCAUAGUCAUGUAAAUAUUGUAAUGCGGGAACCGGACAGAAGUGAGUCAGAUGAUUUUUAUUGGGUCAGAUAGUGUGCAGGCAAAGAGAUUAUCAAAUAAGCCUUACUGCAAUUGGCAGGCAUGGCAUCUAAUCAGACUAUUGCAGCAACUUCACAGUGAAUUGUCCUUUUGGAGCUGCAGAAAUCAUGCACUAUUUAUAAUGACCACUGACCAAUCUGUAUUAACAUUGACAUAUUAGCUUUUGUAGGAGAAUUUUUUAUUAAGAAAAUAUUUAGGUUUGACUCUCAGGUUUUAAAUGUUUCAUAUGUAAUUGUAGGUAGUGCAGUUAUCAAUGCAAUUUUACAUUCCUUAAGAGAGUGUAAAUAUAAUUGGCACAGGAAGAGUUUGUUUUUAUUGUAUAUGUUGAAAAGGAUAAGUCUUAUGUAUUUUUUAUUUGGAGCAGAUAAUUUCUAAACAUAGUUUGUAUUUCAUUUAUCUUAGAAUGUCAACUGCAUGUAAAUAAAAAUGUGCUCUUUUGGAUGUAAAUCUUAAAUGCACAGUGAAUGUAGGUUAUCAAUUAAAAGUUUUUUAAUCUUUCUAUCGUCUACAUUAUGUACACAGUGAAAUUGCUCACUUUUGUUUGCAUAAGUUGUAUGAAAAUGACAGUUUACCUAUAAUUUUUAGUGUGGUACACACAAUACUAAGAAGCAUGGCCAAGUUAAAAUAUUGUGUAUAUAUUUAGAAAAAUUCUUGGUUGAUUCUCAACCAAUGAUUUAAGGAGGACAAAGCAAAGGUUGAGUAGGCAAUAGAAUCUGGUAGGAAUUAUAGUAAAUCAGUUAUUACAUGGCACUGAGGAAUUGGCUGGACAACUCAAUUGUGCAUUUCCAGAAUUUCUAAUAUUUAGCUUUUUGGUGUGAUUUGAGACACUUAAUAUUUAGGUGUUAACACUUACCUGGUGAUUGGCCCUAACUAUUUUUAAAGUUUUCGGGGGUUUUUUGUUUUUGGUGGGAAUAAGGAUUAGGGUUUCUGACUUUAGCCCUACAAGUUUAAAAAAGUUCCUAACUUAUUAUGCUUUGUACUAUAUUGAUUUCCUAUAUCAGAUUUACUAAUUUACACUGGUUUUAUCAUGCUCAUUUAUUCCACUUGUACCAUGGUUUCAUCAGUUAUUUACAUCUAACACUUCUAAUUUGUUUAAUUAUAUUUGUUCUGCCUUUCUAACUCUGAAAAAUAAAAAUUAAGGGUUUCACAAUUA